RNAcentral lists this ribosomal RNA (570 nucleotides) under uncultured Pseudozyma. Its description in RNAcentral is "eukaryotic LSU rRNA". It matches the Rfam family "Eukaryotic large subunit ribosomal RNA", at positions 104 to 656 of the family's 3401-position model. Lineage: Eukaryota; Fungi; Basidiomycota; Ustilaginomycetes; Ustilaginales; Ustilaginaceae. The record is from RNAcentral.
GAGCCCAAGAUUGAAAGCUGGCGUCUUCGGCGUCCGCAUUGUAAUCUCAAGAAGUGUUUUCCGCUUCGGACCAAGCCUAAGUCCCCUGGAAAGGGGCAUCAUAGAGGGUGAUAAUCCCGUACAUGGCUUGGAGCGCCCGAGGCUUUGUGAUACGCUUUCUAAGAGUCGAGUUGUUUGAGAAUGCAGCUCAAAAUGGGUGGUAAAUGCCAUCUAAGGCUAAAUAUUGGGGAGAGACCGAUAGCGAACAAGUACAGUGAUGGAAAGAUGAAAAGAACUUUGAAAAGAGAGUUAAACAGUACGUGAAAUUGCCAAAAGGGAAGGGUAGGAGGUCAGAGAUGCGGCCUGGGAUUCAGCCUUGCUUUUGCUUGGUGUUUUUCCCAGAUUGCAGGCCAACGUCGGUUUUGGGCACUGGAGAAGGGUAGGAGGAACGUGGCACCCCUCGGGGUGUGUUAUAGCCUCCUACUGGAUACAGCGACCGAGACCGAGGACAGCAGCGUACUCGCAAGAGCGGGCCUUCGGGCACCUUUACGCUUAGGGCGUUGGCAUAAUGGCCCUCUACCACCCGUCUUG